AAAUAAGAAGUAAAAAAAUUACAUAUUAAUUUCGACUUAAUAAUAGAUUAUUAUAAUCCUUAUUUA
This 66-nucleotide transfer RNA is filed under the name Myzus persicae (green peach aphid). Its description in RNAcentral is "tRNA-Arg". The record is from RNAcentral. Lineage: Eukaryota; Metazoa; Arthropoda; Insecta; Hemiptera; Aphididae.